AGAAAAGUGCUUUUCCAGUUUGAUCCUGAGGGGGGCGCUGCUUCCAUACCUGAGUGCAGAAGACCUGCAGGGAAGAAGUCAGCUGCAGUCCUUCUUCUGACACCACCUGAGGAGGAGCAGAUCAUUUGUCUCCUUCACUUCCUGACCCCACAGAGCAAGAAAGAAGAUGGACGCACCUCAGCCUGGUGGAACAGAUCCAGCGUGGUCUUCAGCAGACCCUCCCCUCUGGUGGAAGGAACACAGAGUGUUUCUGCAGGAGGCAAGGGGCGUGUCAUCAAAGGUCACGUGACCACAAGGGGGCGUGUCUCUACUGGAUACUCACCCCAGGUCGAGGAAGUGACAAAUAUGGUCGUUUGUCUCCUGGGAGCAGAAAAGAGGCAGCAGACGUCGUUGAUCUCGCGGACGAGCAGCGCCAUGUCGCCCAGCUGAGACUCCCACGCCUCGCAGAACACCUCCAGGUUCUCUUUGGCGAUCUUGCUGGACGGAUGCAGCGCCAACGUUUGGGUGGCAGAAAUGAUCUAAACAUCAACACUAUACAAAAGGAGUUACCUGCGGUCCGAUGACGUGGAAGGUCUCCUCUGCGUGCGAGCACGUUAUCUCCAGCGGCUCCGUCCCGGACACAUGACACAACAGCCGACAAUUCUGCACGCA
Nerophis lumbriciformis (worm pipefish) is the source of this 651-nucleotide non-coding RNA. The record is from RefSeq and is a predicted model, not a curated record. NCBI's taxonomy places the organism in Eukaryota, Metazoa, Chordata, Actinopteri, Syngnathiformes, Syngnathidae.